GGCAUGCACCACCUCUCAGCGUGUCUGGUAAGACCUUUAGCCUGACCUUCAUUCUGCUGUCGCACUGGUAAGGUUCCUCNGCGUUGAAUCGAAUUAAACCGCAGCCUCCACCCCUUGUGUGCUCCCCCGCCAAUUCCCUUAAGUUUCAGCCUUGCGACCGUACUUCCCAGGUGGCCCAUUUAACGAUUUCUCUACGACUCUGGCAACCCCCUUAAGAUUGCCAAUGUCUAAUGGGCAUGGUUUACAGCCAGGACUACCGGGGUAUCUAAUCCCGUUUGCUCCCCUGGCUUUCGUCCCUCACCGUCAGAUCCGUUCUAGUAGAGCGCCUUCGCCACAGGUGGUCCUCUCGGGAUUAUAAGAUUUUACCCUUACCCCGAGAAUACCCUCUACCUCUCCCGGUCUCGAGCCUGCCAGUAUCCCCAACAAUUUCGACAGUUAGCUGCCGAAUUUCAUUAGGGACUUAACAAGCCGGCUACGAACGCUUUAAACCCAAUAAAAGCGGUCACCACUUGGGGCCCAGGUAUUACCGCGGCGGCUGGCACCUGUGUUACCCACCCCUUAUUCGCCAAGCUUUUUACACUUUGACAAAAGACUCCUCGCAAAA
This 604-nucleotide ribosomal RNA is filed under the name uncultured archaeon. RNAcentral's name for it is "partial 16S ribosomal RNA". The record is from RNAcentral.